Molecule: ribosomal RNA, 240 nt
Filed under: uncultured bacterium
Lineage: Bacteria
Description: partial 16S ribosomal RNA
Rfam family: Bacterial small subunit ribosomal RNA
Source: RNAcentral
CGAGCGGCGGACGGGUGAGGAACACAUCGGAAUCUACCCUGUCGUGGGGGACAACGUAGGGAAACUUACGCUAAUACCGCAUACGACCUUUGGGUGAAAGCGGGGACCCGCAAGGGCCCCGCGCGAUUGGAUGAGCCGAUGUCCGAUUAGCUAGUUGGCGGGGUAAUGGCCCACCAAGGCGACGAUCGGUAGCUGGUCUGAGAGGACGACCAGCCACACUGGAACUGAGACACGGUCCAG